GACGAACGCUGGCGGCGUGCUUAACACAUGCAAGUCGAACGAUGAACCCGGAGCUUGCUCUGGGGGAUUAGUGGCGAACGGGUGAGUAACACGUGAGUAACCUGCCCUGGACUCUGGGAUAAGCGUUGGAAACGACGUCUAAUACCGGAUAGGACCUUGGAUCGCAUGAUCUGGGGUGGAAAGUUUUUUCGGUCGGGGAUGGACUCGCGGCCUAUCAGCUUGUUGGUGAGGUAAUGGCUCACCAAGGCGUCGACGGGUAGCCGGCCUGAGAGGGUGACCGGCCAGACUGGGACGGAGACACGGCCGAGACUCCUACGUGAGGCAGCAGUAGGGAAUAUUGCACAAAGGGCGAAAGCCUGAUGCAGCAACGCCGCGUGCGGGAGGACGGCCGUCGGGUUGUAAACCGCUUUUAGUAGGGAAGAAGGGCUUCGGCUUGACGGUACCUGCAGAAAAAGGACCGGCUAACUACGUG
This 472-nucleotide ribosomal RNA is filed under the name uncultured bacterium. Its description in RNAcentral is "partial 16S ribosomal RNA". It matches the Rfam family "Bacterial small subunit ribosomal RNA", at positions 28 to 507 of the family's 1533-position model. The record is from RNAcentral.